GUGGGGAAUCUUGCGCAAUGGGCGAAAGCCUGACGCAGCCAUGCCGCGUGAAUGAUGAAGGUCUUAGGAUUGUAAAAUUCUUUCACCGGGGACGAUAAUGACGGUACCCGGAGAAGAAGCUCCGGCUAACUUCGUGCCAGCAGCCGCGGUAAUACGAAGGGGGCUAGCGUUGCUCGGAAUUACUGGGCGUAAAGGGCGCGUAGGCGGACAGCUUAGUCAGAGGUGAAAGCCCAGGGCUCAACCUUGGAAUUGCCUUUGAUACUGGCUGUCUCGAGUUUGGGAGAGGUGAGUGGAACUCCGAGUGUAGAGGUGAAAUUCGUAGAUAUUCGGAAGAACACCAGUGGCGAAGGCGACUCACUGGCCCAAUACUGACGCUGAGGCGCGAAAGCGUGGGGAGCAAACAGGAUUAGAUACCCCGGUAGUCC
Molecule: ribosomal RNA, 425 nt
Filed under: uncultured bacterium
Lineage: Bacteria
Description: partial 16S ribosomal RNA
Rfam family: Bacterial small subunit ribosomal RNA
Source: RNAcentral